UGGGGGAUAUUGCACAAUGGGCGAAAGCCUGAUGCAGCGACGCCGCGUGGGGGAUGAAGGCCUUCGGGUUGUAAACUUCUUUUGCUCUGAACAAGGCAUGCUAAUGGGUGUGUUGAGUGUAGGGGUUGAUUAGCGCCGGCUAACUACGUGCCAGCAGCCGCGGUAAUACGUAGGGCGCGAGCGUUGUCCGGAAUUAUUGGGCGUAAAGGGCUUGUAGGUGGCUGGUUGCGUCUGUCGUGAAAGCUCAUGGCUUAACUGUGGGUUUGCGGUGGGUACGGGCUGGCGUGAGGGCAGUAGUGGAGGCUGGAAUUCCUGGUGUAGCGGUGGAAUGCGCAGAUAUCAGGAGGAAUACCGGUGGCGAAGGCGGGUCUCUGGGCUGUUACUGACACUGAGGAGCGAAAGCAUGGGGAGCGAACAGG
Molecule: ribosomal RNA, 419 nt
Filed under: bacterium
Lineage: Bacteria
Description: partial 16S ribosomal RNA
Rfam family: Bacterial small subunit ribosomal RNA
Source: RNAcentral